CUAUGCGCACAUAGAGGUUGUUGAGGAACCUAUAAUUCCAUUAUCUGCAGGAUGCUGUUUCUCUCACCACGUAGCACAAUGCAGUACUAAAUGACUGGCUUACUGUAAGGAUAACAGCAGCACACACGUAGUGCUGUCUGCUAAGUCCUUAGGCUGAGAGUCUGGCUAAGAGAUAGAGAAAAGAGACAACUGGCAUGUCUGAUAAGCAGUCAGCCUGAAACAUCAUUGCUUCCUUGAAGUUUCUUGGACUUUUCUUAUGCACCUGGAUGCAGACUGAGUCAAUAUGUCUGUGUCUAAGCUUACCCAGACAGACCAUGAUCUUCAAACUGGUUUAAACCAAUUUCAAAUUAGAGUUUUAGCUGCCAUUUUCUCUUUGUUUGUGAGUUCUUCUUUUACUCACAAGUGUUGCAGAACAGUUUAUCUUAAAUGUGUGAAAGUGCACUCCAUUUAACCCCACUGAAAUUAGUGUAUUGACCACAUCUGUUGUGAAAUACAGAACUUUUGCAAAGAGCAAUUUUAUUGCUUAUAAACACACGAAGUAUUUAUAGUAUUUUAUUCUAUGCCACAAGAAUGUAUUAAAAAAAAAAAAAAGUAAAUUGUGAUUCUUUUCAAGGCACCAACAAUUAAUAACAACAUCACAAACAACAAUUAGAACAACAGCAACAUCUCAAGAUUUUGACUCCCUGAAUUUUCACUUAACAUUUUUCAGGUGAUCUUCGUACUGAUUGUCCAUGGAAAUGAGUAACUGGUCAUUUAUUAACUCCAUUUCCUUGAAGGGAAUUUUGGUGCCCCGGACUUCUGACAGGCUUGUGUUACUCAUCACAGAUUGUGUGCUUAAAGGCAUAGAUGCAGAGAAAUGCUGACUCUACAGCUUUGGUACUUAUGGAUACUUUGGUUCUUAUGGCAAAGGGCAAGAGAGAAGUUACAGGCACAAAGGUUAAGGCUGUUGAAUGCAAAGACUUCUACUGUAGUGUCCUUUGAACUAUCUCCUGGAGAAAGAAAAGAGGGGAAAAAUGGGAGGCAGCAGAUUACCAGAAGGAAGGUGGUUUCCAAUUCAUGAGGUACUUGAUGCACUGUGAGUAUAAUGGGAACCUGUAUGGAAAGAAUGAGCUUCAUCUGAACCAAGCUUCUGGCCCUGAAAAGCAAGGCUCUAAAUGAGCUUUUAAGCUGAUUAGCAUAGGAAAACCAAUAUGUAUGGGAGAGCGCAUGGUUCCGGAUGGCGUUUCCCAUUAUGUUUCAUGUUUCACACAUGAAUUCUCUGUCCUCAAAUUAAGAAUCUGGAGAAGGAUGAAAACCAUCAAGCAUAAAGUGGACAGCACAGGCAGUUGAAACAGAGUGCCAAAUAGUGAAGCAGAGCAUCAACACCUGUACUUAUACACAAGUGUGAGAAGACAAAGAAAUGAGAUGGAGGAAUUGCUAUGUUUAGCUGUCAGUGAAGACACUGUCUUACAGGGAACUCUGAAGUAGGAAGACAAUUGAUUAAACACUGAAAUAUAAACACAGAAUAUACAGAAAAUAUAGAAAAAAAAACACAUACUGGUGGUACAGUAGCACUGUUUUCAUGGACAAUUUAGAAUCAGUUCACAGGAACAAACUAACACCAUCAGUGAAUACCAAAGAACUCAUUUGAUCUGUUUGGAUCGAGAUUCAGACCCAAAAAGAAGCAUAUAGUCUGAUCGCCUGCUUCUCUACUGACCUGGGUGGCAGCAGGAGAUCAGACUUAGUGAGGGCACAGGACAUAAAUGUAAUUGGAUUCUCCAGUUGCCAUAAAAAGUAGGCAAAUGUAGCACAGGGACAUGAAGCUGGACCCACAUUUUUAGAAACCAUUGGUGAUUACUUCAUGGAAGAUUGAAAUUACCACCCUGAUGAACCACCACUUAGCUUCAGCUAAGGACAAAAAUAUAUAACAUCCAGAGAGUUGUGUUAACAUUCAACAACAGAAGAGACCAUUAAAGGAUUACUGCAAGCAUCUGUGCAUUUUUCAAUAUAUCCAGAAAUGCUCUGGAAAGAGGCUAAGAAGUGAAAUGCCUAAGUUUGCUGAUAAUACAAAGUUGUUUACG
Anser brachyrhynchus (Pink-footed goose) is the source of this 2060-nucleotide long non-coding RNA. The record is from Ensembl. Lineage: Eukaryota; Metazoa; Chordata; Aves; Anseriformes; Anatidae.